GACGUAGGUGGCGAGCGUUAUCCGGAUUUACUGGGCGUAAAGCGCGUGCAGGUGGUUUGAUAAGUCGGGCGUGAAAUCUCCUGGCUCAACUAGGAGAGGCCGUCCGAUACUAUCAGACUUGAGGGCAGCAGAGGGAGGUGGAAUUCCGGGUGUAGUGGUGAAAUGCGUAGAUAUCCGGAGGAACACCGGUGGCGAAGGCGGCCUCCUGGACUGCCCCUGACACUCAGACGCGAAAGCUAGGGGAGCGAACGGG
RNAcentral lists this ribosomal RNA (253 nucleotides) under uncultured bacterium. RNAcentral describes it as "partial 16S ribosomal RNA". It matches the Rfam family "Bacterial small subunit ribosomal RNA", at positions 524 to 776 of the family's 1533-position model. The record is from RNAcentral.